Molecule: long non-coding RNA, 209 nt
Filed under: Phoenix dactylifera (date palm)
Lineage: Eukaryota; Viridiplantae; Streptophyta; Magnoliopsida; Arecales; Arecaceae
Description: long non-coding RNA (PDAC_LNC017870)
Source: RNAcentral
AGGGGGGUCUAUAUAAACCCCACGAGUCUGCCCUAAAGGUCUUGUUUGGCUGCCUCUUAUUUUCGUCGUCUUUCCCCCCUGCUUCCUCCCUCAGCUGAAUCUUGCUGGUGGUGCCCGGAGCGAUUUCCGGCAAUGUCCAGUAGGUUUUUUUCCUGUUUUCACUAGGGUUUCCUCUUUUCUCCUCCUCGUCAACUUCCAUUUUCUACUCU